This 72-nucleotide transfer RNA is filed under the name Amphioplus laevis. RNAcentral's name for it is "tRNA-Gln". It matches the Rfam family "tRNA". Rfam says of the family: Transfer RNA (tRNA) molecules are approximately 80 nucleotides in length. Their secondary structure includes four short double-helical elements and three loops (D, anti-codon, and T loops). Further hydrogen bonds mediate the characteristic L-shaped molecular structure. tRNAs have two regions of fundamental functional importance: the anti-codon, which is responsible for specific mRNA codon recognition, and the 3' end, to which the tRNAs corresponding amino acid is attached (by aminoacyl-tRNA synthetases). tRNAs cope with the degeneracy of the genetic code in two manners: having more than one tRNA (with a specific anti-codon) for a particular amino acid; and 'wobble' base-pairing, i.e. permitting non-standard base-pairing at the 3rd anti-codon position. Lineage: Eukaryota; Metazoa; Echinodermata; Ophiuroidea; Amphilepidida; Amphiuridae. The record is from RNAcentral.
UAAGAGAUAGGCAAACAGGUAUACCACAAAACUUUGAAUUUUGUAUUGAGAGUUCGAGACUCUCUCUCUUAU